This is a long non-coding RNA of Solea senegalensis (Senegalese sole), 1475 nucleotides long. RefSeq lists it as uncharacterized. The record is from RefSeq and is a predicted model, not a curated record. The transcript is spliced from 3 exons. NCBI's taxonomy places the organism in Eukaryota, Metazoa, Chordata, Actinopteri, Pleuronectiformes, Soleidae.
CAUAAUUUGACUUGUUUCAAGAAAACCAAACACGUGCCAUUUCCUUGUUGAUAAUAGAGGAUAAAGCUUGACGCACAUGUGAGCGGACACCAUCGAAAUCUGACCGAUCAAAUCACAACUGUCAAGACUUCAUCAAGAAGUCAGUUUGUAUUUGGGAGUGGGCGUGGCAACAGGGUGAUUGACAUUUACAGGUGUAGGUGGACGUGCAGUGGAAUAGUUUGAUUUAAUACUUUAAAGUUUUGCAGUUCUUUAAAGGUCUGUUUAGAUGUGUACCAUGUAGGAGGGGGAUUAUGGGAUGUACCAUCUCUAUGUUUGCUUGUGUAACUGGGGAGAAGAAGUCACCUUAACACCGUCGACUCCAGGAAGUCCAUUCAUGCCAUUUUUGCCAGACUCUCCCUGUAACGUCACAUAAUUCAGUCACAACCUUUUCACAUCAUUAUAAACAACGAUGAACGCUAAAGAAAAAAGACACUUACCACGUCUCCCUUUUCCCCCUUGAGUCCCUGCUCUCCCUGUGCUCCCACAGCUCCCUGAUCACAAACAAAAGCACCAUUCUUACACUUGUUUUUGUUAUAUACUGUAUAAUUAUGUUCUUAAGUGGAACUCACAUCGUCGCCCUUCGCCCCCUCCAAACCCUGACGUCCACGGAUUCCCUCUGCGCCCUGAGAGAGUGGAUUCAAUUAUACGAACAUAUUAAGAAAAUUACCUUUGUCUUACUUCCUGCAGACACAGAUUUUCUUUUUUAUUAAAUACACGUCAGGACUUACAGGAGCUCCAGGUGGUCCAGUUGGACCCGGGACACCAUUGAAACCAGGAGGACCCUGUAAAGAAAGAUAGGUUCCAGUGAGACCAAUGGGCCCUCGUUGACCCUACAAAAAAGCCCGCGGGGACCCAUCGGGCCAACAGCUCCCUGCAGACGACAACAACACAGAGUCCCAUCAACACGGCAGCCUCUUUAUUCCCCGACAAUCAACACACCAUUAAACCCACUUACUAACACUCAUUCACACACACACACAAUAUGACAAACAGUGAAAGGAUGUCUCGUACAGGAACUCCUGGAAGACCAGGCAGGCCUCUCUGUCCGGGAAGACCGAUCUCCCCCUGCUCGCCUUUGCUGCCCUAGGAAACAGACACAAGAAGAGGAAAACAGCUUUAUCAUCUUCCUCUAUCUCUCCGCCUUGUUGCUAAGAGACACAAAAGGCAGUGACAGUGAACGUUUAAUCAAUGGAAAGAAGGUCGGCCGCUGCUGGUGUUUCCAAUAUCUGCAGAAGAGACUGUACAUAGAACACACGGGCCAGAGAGGAAGGCGGAGCUACAGCUGUUUAAACUUUCAUCCUCUUGAAUGUAACACACGUAGUGAACUCUAAUCUCCAGCUUCACAUGAUUGUCUGUCGAGCUGGAUCCAGGAAGCAGCAAAGAGUUCUCCAGGUUCCUCCCACAGUUCCAAAAACAUGCAGAUUUGGGGAUUACUC